RNAcentral lists this ribosomal RNA (451 nucleotides) under uncultured bacterium. RNAcentral's name for it is "partial 16S ribosomal RNA". It matches the Rfam family "Bacterial small subunit ribosomal RNA", at positions 330 to 795 of the family's 1533-position model. The record is from RNAcentral.
GCCAGACUCCUACGGGAGGCAGCAGUGGGGAAUAUUGGGCAAUGGGCGAAAGCCUGACCCAGCAACGCCGCGUGAAGGAAGAAGGCUUUCGGGUUGUAAACUUCUUUUGACAGGGAAGAGUAGAAGACGGUACCUCUUGAAUAAGCCACGGCUAGCUACGUGCCAGCAGCCGCGGUAAUACGUAGGUGGCAAGCGUUGUCCGGAUUUACUGGGUGUAAAGGGCGUGUAGCCGGGCCGGCAAGUCAGAUGUGAAAUCCCAAGGCUCAACCUUGGAACUGCAUUUGAAACUGUUGGUCUUGAGUAUCGGAGAGGCAGGCGGAAUUCCUAGUGUAGCGGUGAAAUGCGUAGAUAUUAGGAGGAACACCAGUUGCGAAGGCGGCUCUCUGGACUGUAACUGACACUGAGGCACGAAAGCGUGGGGAGCAAACAGGAUUAGAUACCCCCGGUACAC